This 1149-nucleotide ribosomal RNA is filed under the name Cytophagaceae bacterium. Its description in RNAcentral is "partial 23S ribosomal RNA". It matches the Rfam family "Bacterial large subunit ribosomal RNA", at positions 1092 to 2120 of the family's 2925-position model. The record is from RNAcentral. Lineage: Bacteria; Pseudomonadati; Bacteroidota; Cytophagia; Cytophagales; Cytophagaceae.
ACCAGGAGGUUGGCUUGGAAGCAGCCACCCUUGAAAGAGUGCGUAAUAGCUCACUGGUCAAGUGAUUCCGCGCCGACAAUGUAGCGGGGCUCAAGUCAUCCGCCGAAGCUAUGGCAUUCGUACAUCAACCACCAACGUGGGUACGGAUGGGUAGGGGAGCGUCGUGUUCCGAGUGAAGCGGCAGAGUGAUCUAGCCGUGGACGCCAUACGAGUGAGAAUGCAGGCAUGAGUAGCGAAUGAAGGGUGAGAAACCCUUCCGCCGGAUGACCAAGGGUUCCAGGGCCAGGCUAAUCCGCCCUGGGUGAGUCGGGGCCUAAGGCGAGGCCGAGAGGCGUAGUCGAUGGAUAACGGGUUGAUAUUCCCGUACCCGCGUAGGAGCGCCCAAGACGAACCUGUUUGUACUAACUGCGCAAAGGGCCGGCGACCUUCGGGUCAAGGGUUCGGAGUCCAGGACCUCGAAUGGUAGUAGUUUAGCGAUGGGGUGACGCAGGAAGGUAGAUGAUCCCGGCCGGUGGUUGUGCCGGGGUAAGCGUGUAGACCGUGUCAUAGGCAAAUCCGUGACACACAUAGGUUGAGACGUGAUGCCGAGCCGUUUCAGGUGAAGUCAUUGAUCCUAUGCUGCCGAGAAAAGCCUCUAGCGAUGUUCCGAGCGGCCCGUACCCUAAACCGACACAGGUGGUCAGGUAGAGAAUACCAAGGCGACGGGCGAACUGUGGUUAAGGAACUCGGCAAAUUGCCCCCGUAACUUAGGGAGAAGGGGGGCCGGACACGUGAAGCUACUUGCUGGUGGAGCGUGGUAUGGCCGCAGAGAGCAGGGGGAAGCGACUGUUUACUAAAAACACAGGUCCAUGCCAAGUCGUAAGACGAUGUAUAUGGACUGACGCCUGCCCGGUGCUGGAACGUUAAGGGGACCUGUUAGCCCGUGAGGGCGAGGCGGAGAACUUAAGCGCCAGUAAACGGCGGUGGUAACUAUAACCAUCCUAAGGUAGCGAAAUUCCUUGUCGGGUAAGUUCCGACCUGCACGAAUGGCGUAACGACUUCCCCACUGUCUCAACCACAGGCCCGGCGAAAUUGCAGUACGAGUAAAGAUGCUCGUUACGCGCGGCAGGACGGAAAGACCCCGGGACCUUUACUAUAGCUUGACAUUGG